RNAcentral lists this ribosomal RNA (441 nucleotides) under uncultured bacterium. RNAcentral's name for it is "partial 16S ribosomal RNA". It matches the Rfam family "Bacterial small subunit ribosomal RNA", at positions 338 to 795 of the family's 1533-position model. The record is from RNAcentral.
CCUACGGGAGGCAGCAGUGGGGAAUAUUGCACAAUGGGGGGAACCCUGAUGCAGCGACGCCGCGUGGGUGAAGGAGUAUUUCGGUAUGUAAAGCCCUAUCAGCAGGGAAGAACAAUGACGGUACCUGACUAAGAAGCACCGGCUAAAUACGUGCCAGCAGCCGCGGUAAUACGUAUGGUGCAAGCGUUAUCCGGAUUUACUGGGUGUAAAGGGAGCGCAGGCGGCGCGUUAAGCCUGGUGUGAAAGCCCGGGGCCCAACCGCGGGACUGCAUUGGGAACUGGCGCGCUGGAGUGCCGGAGGGGUAGGCGGAAUUCCUAGUGUAGCGGUGAAAUGCGUAGAGAUUAGGAGGAACACCAGUGGCGAAGGCGGCCUACUGGACGGUGACUGACGCUGAGGCUCGAAAGCGUGGGGAGCAAACAGGAUUAGAUACCCCUGUAGUC